CCUACAUCGACGCUUAAGAACUCAGAGGUUAACUUUCUCAUUGGGGGGAAAUUUUUUGUUAUGACAGGAACACGAGUGGUACACCACGUGUUUUUAUAUAAGUGGUGGAAAAUUUUWUUUUUUAAGUUAUUAACUUUUUAACACACAUCCCACCAUUUAUAUAGCGACACAUGGUGUACCACCCCGUGUGACGGUCACACUGAAAAAUMUCUUCUCAUUGGGAGUCCUAACUUUCGUUUACAUUGGGAUAUUGUUG
Molecule: microRNA precursor, 256 nt
Filed under: Malus domestica (apple)
Lineage: Eukaryota; Viridiplantae; Streptophyta; Magnoliopsida; Rosales; Rosaceae
Description: miR10993a stem-loop (mdm-MIR10993a)
Source: miRBase by way of RNAcentral